Molecule: long non-coding RNA, 243 nt
Filed under: Olea europaea (common olive)
Lineage: Eukaryota; Viridiplantae; Streptophyta; Magnoliopsida; Lamiales; Oleaceae
Description: long non-coding RNA (OEUR_LNC007458)
Source: RNAcentral
UUCAUUUUUAUUCGAUAUUACUAAACGUUCGAUAAAAUUACAAUAAAUGAAGAACAGGUGGCUAAUCGAGUUCAUUCAUCCGAAGAACCUCCCAAACCCAUACCAAAAAUAGCAUUCCUAAAGUCUUACAUAUUAUUUGUGCUUUUAAUUCUCUAUCUUGGAUAUAAUUCAGAAAUUGAUGCUUCAUUUAUAGAGAAGGCUGUUGAGGACGAUGUAGAUUUGUCUGAAUCUUGUACUUUGGGC